GAUUUCUGGCUUGUAACAUUUUGCCGGCCACGGUUUCGUGUGUUAGUGCUUGAUGUUCUGGCCAUCCUUCCAAUCGCUGCUUACUUCUCUUCACUGAUUGGUAAGUAGUAUUGGAUCUUUUACUUUGAAAAAAUUAGAGUGUUUAAAGCAGGCUAUUGCUAUGAAUACAUUAGCAUGGAAUAAUAAUUUAGGACUUCGGUUCUAUUUUGUUGGUUUCUAGGACUGAAGUAAUGAUUGAUAGGGACAGUUGGGGGUGCUAGUAUUCAGCGGCCAGAGGUGAAAUUCUUGGAUUCGCUGAAGACUAACUUAUGCGAAAGCAUU
This 321-nucleotide ribosomal RNA is filed under the name uncultured Mollimonas. Its description in RNAcentral is "SSU rRNA". It matches the Rfam family "Eukaryotic small subunit ribosomal RNA", at positions 626 to 955 of the family's 1831-position model. The record is from RNAcentral. Lineage: Eukaryota; Cercozoa; Glissomonadida.